Molecule: ribosomal RNA, 405 nt
Filed under: uncultured bacterium
Lineage: Bacteria
Description: partial 16S ribosomal RNA
Rfam family: Bacterial small subunit ribosomal RNA
Source: RNAcentral
GAUGAACGCUGGCGGCGUGCCUAAUACAUGCAAGUCGAGCGAAGCGGGGGUGGGUAAGUAACACGUGGAUAACCUCCUAUCAGACUGGGAUAACUUCGGGAAACCGGAGCUAAACCGGAUACUUAUAGAUGUAUCUUCGCUGCAUUAGCUAGUUGGUAAGGUAACGGCUUACCAAGGCAACGAUGACUAGCCGACCUGAGAGAGGGAUCGGCCACACUGGACCGUAGACCCGGUCCAGACAUCUACGGGAGGCAGCAUGAGGGAAUCUUCCGCAAAGUGCGAAGGCCUGACGUAGCAACGCCGCGUGAGUGAUGAAGGUCUUCGGAUCGUAAAACUCUGUUAAUAGGGAAGCGGUGCCUAAUCAGAAAGCCACGGCUAACUCCGUGCCUGCAGCCGCGGUAAUAU